This 421-nucleotide ribosomal RNA is filed under the name uncultured bacterium. Its description in RNAcentral is "bacterial SSU rRNA". It matches the Rfam family "Bacterial small subunit ribosomal RNA", at positions 254 to 692 of the family's 1533-position model. The record is from RNAcentral.
GGGGUAACGGCCCACCAAGGCAAUGAUCGGUAGCCGGCCUGAGAGGGCGCACGGCCACACUGGAACUGAAACACGGUCCAGACUCCUACGGGAGGCAGCAGUGGGGAAUUUUGCGCAAUGGGGGAAACCCUGACGCAGCAACGCCGCGUGGAGGAUGAAGCCCCUUGGGGUGUAAACUCCUUUCGAUCGGGACGAUAAUGACGGUACCGGAUGAAGAAGCACCGGCUAACUCUGUGCCAGCAGCCGCGGUAAUACAGAGGGUGCAAGCGUUGUUCGGAAUUAUUGGGCGUAAAGGGUGCGUAGGCGGUGCGGUAAGUCUGUUGUGAAAUCUCCGGGCUCAACUCGGAGCCUGCAACGGAAACUGCCGUGCUGGAGUAUGGGAGAGGUGAGUGGAAUUCCCGGUGUAGCGGUGAAAUGCGUA